This is a long non-coding RNA of Populus trichocarpa (black cottonwood), 460 nucleotides long. RefSeq lists it as uncharacterized. The record is from RefSeq and is a predicted model, not a curated record. The transcript has 2 exons. NCBI's taxonomy places the organism in Eukaryota, Viridiplantae, Streptophyta, Magnoliopsida, Malpighiales, Salicaceae.
CUUGAGUUAAAUAUGAGGUUGUAUGUAAAAUAAUGAUGUUAUAUUUGAGAAUGAAUUUUUAUUAGAACAAAUUACAAAUAAAAAUAUUACGUGCUUUGUGUUUCGGCACGUAAGAAAAAUAUUGAUGGACUAAUGAUAUAAUGACACUUGAUUGAUUCAGGAGUUGUGUCUGGAGCUGGUUAUCAGACAGGAGGAGCUGGGUCAUCCCGAGCAGAAGGUACACCGCGAGGUGAUGCAGAUCGUUACAUGUAGGAAUACUCCUGUUUAUGAAUUACUAUUUUGGAAUGUAAUAUUCAUGUCUUUACUUUGAGUGUAAAUCCUUUUGUGUUGUAAAAAUUAAGUAGAAGGUGUAAUAUGUAGUGGAUGUAUUAUAUAUAUGUAUAGUUGUUAGUAUGACCAAAUCAUUUUCAAAAUGAUAAGAUAAGAUUUAUUAUAAAUAUAAUAUGACUCUUAAUCUUAA